CAUCACCUUCUGAUUCGUGAUUUCUCUUCCACAUCCUUCUUUUUCUCCACAUCAAUCUGAAACCCGACCUGUGUGAUUCUGUGUAUCCUUCCUCUUUCCACCCACUUCUCACCAAUCCAUCAAGUGGGUCUUUUCCGAUUGAUCUGAUGAAGUUUUACUUUCGGCCGCCGCUUGAUGUUUCCAACCAUUCACGUCUCUACACCUCAAUCCCUCAACUAUUCAUUCGUCAUCCCUUCUCAUCAGUUGCCCAACUUUUAGGGUUGAAUGCAUCAACAAAGGUUCAUCUUUGCGGCAUACUUGCUUCCUGGGGAUUUAAGCAGAGAAGGAAGAAUUGAAUGUAUGCAAAAAUGGCAUGGAGAGUUGUUUUAGAUUCUGGAGUGUUGGGGUUGUGCUGUUUUGCCUUUGGAAGAGAGCCUUGCGGGUUUGUUGAUGGCUUAUGGCUAUAUAUGGAUACAAAGAGACCCCUCUAUGUAUAGUUUAUGUAGUUAUCCUUUGGGCAUUUGGUAUUCCCUUAUCUUUCUUUGUUCUGUUUUAGUCUUAGUUUAGUCAUUCCUUCUGUUUUCUCCUCUAUUGUAAUUCUAUUGUAUUUGGGUUGAGGCACCCCCUUGUGCUCCCUUUAAUACAACUCUUUGGCUUAUAAAAAAACUUCAAUAAUUACUUUGAAGAGCAAAAAGAGAUGGAAUGCAGGUUUUUCUCCCUUUUACUAAUGCUGUCAUACUACUAAAGGAAAGGGAAAUAUUUCUCAGCGGUUGAAUUUGUAUUUUUAUAUUUUAAGUUAUAUUGUGUUUCCAACUAUGUCACAAAUAGAAUAAGAAAGCCUUGG
Lotus japonicus is the source of this 823-nucleotide long non-coding RNA. RefSeq lists it as uncharacterized. The record is from RefSeq and is a predicted model, not a curated record. The transcript is spliced from 3 exons. NCBI's taxonomy places the organism in Eukaryota, Viridiplantae, Streptophyta, Magnoliopsida, Fabales, Fabaceae.